AAAUUGAAGAGUUUGAUCAUGGCUCAGAUUGAACGCUGGCGGCAGGCCUAACACAUGCAAGUCGAACGGUAGCACAGAGAGCUUGCUCUCGGGUGACGAGUGGCGGACGGGUGAGUAAUGUCUGGGAAACUGCCUGAUGGAGGGGGAUAACUACUGGAAACGGUGGCUAAUACCGCAUAACGUCGCAAGACCAAAGAGGGGGACCUUCGGGCCUCUUGCCAUCAGAUGUGCCCAGAUGGGAUUAGCUAGUUGGUGAGGUAACGGCUCACCAAGGCGACGAUCCCUAGCUGGUCUGAGAGGAUGACCAGCCACACUGGAACUGAGACACGGUCCAGACUCCUACGGGAGGCAGCAGUGGGGAAUAUUGCACAAUGGGCGCAAGCCUGAUGCAGCCAUGCCGCGUGUAUGAAGAAGGCCUUCGGGUUGUAAAGUACUUUCAGCGGGGAGGAAGGUGUUGUGGUUAAUAACCGCAGCAAUUGACGUUACCCGCAGAAGAAGCACCGGCUAACUCCGUGCCAGCAGCCGCGGUAAUACGGAGGGUGCAAGCGUUAAUCGGAAUUACUGGGCGUAAAGCGCACGCAGGCGGUCUGUCAAGUCGGAUGUGAAAUCCCCGGGCUCAACCUGGGAACUGCAUUCGAAACUGGCAGGCUUGAGUCUUGUAGAGGGGGGUAGAAUUCCAGGUGUAGCGGUGAAAUGCGUAGAGAUCUGGAGGAAUACCGGUGGCGAAGGCGGCCCCCUGGACAAAGACUGACGCUCAGGUGCGAAAGCGUGGGGAGCAAACAGGAUUAGAUACCCUGGUAGUCCACGCCGUAAACGAUGUCUACUUGGAGGUUGUGCCCUUGAGGCGUGGCUUCCGGAGCUAACGCGUUAAGUAGACCGCCUGGGGAGUACGGCCGCAAGGUUAAAACUCAAAUGAAUUGACGGGGGCCCGCACAAGCGGUGGAGCAUGUGGUUUAAUUCGAUGCAACGCGAAGAACCUUACCUGGUCUUGACAUCCACAGAAGAAUCCAGAGAUGGAUUUGUGCCUUCGGGAACUGUGAGACAGGUGCUGCAUGGCUGUCGUCAGCUCGUGUUGUGAAAUGUUGGGUUAAGUCCCGCAACGAGCGCAACCCUUAUCCUUUGUUGCCAGCGGUUAGG
Molecule: ribosomal RNA, 1137 nt
Filed under: Salmonella enterica subsp. enterica serovar Typhimurium str. SL1344
Lineage: Bacteria; Pseudomonadati; Pseudomonadota; Gammaproteobacteria; Enterobacterales; Enterobacteriaceae
Description: bacterial SSU rRNA
Rfam family: Bacterial small subunit ribosomal RNA
Source: RNAcentral